This 336-nucleotide unclassified non-coding RNA is filed under the name soil metagenome. Its description in RNAcentral is "partial contains 5.8S ribosomal RNA, internal transcribed spacer 2, and large subunit ribosomal RNA". The stretch from base 1 to 120 matches the Rfam family "5.8S ribosomal RNA", at positions 35 to 154 of the family's 154-position model. The record is from RNAcentral.
GAUGAAGAACGCAGCGAAAUGCGAUAAGUAAUGUGAAUUGCAGAAUUCAGUGAAUCAUCGAAUCUUUGAACGCACAUUGCGCCCGCCAGUAUUCUGGCGGGCAUGCCUGUUCGAGCGUCAUUUCAACCAUCAAGCCCACGGCUUGUGUUGGGGACCUGCGGCUGCCGCAGGCCCUGAAAAGCAGUGGCGGGCUCGCUGUCACACCGAGCGUAGUAGCAUACAUCUCGCUCUGGGCGUGCUGCGGGUUCCGGCCGUUAAACCACCUUCAUAACCCAAGGUUGAUCUCGGAUCAGGUAGGAAGACCCGCUGAACUUAAGCAUAUCAAUAAGCGGAGGA